RNAcentral lists this ribosomal RNA (288 nucleotides) under uncultured microorganism. Its description in RNAcentral is "partial 16S ribosomal RNA". It matches the Rfam family "Bacterial small subunit ribosomal RNA", at positions 505 to 796 of the family's 1533-position model. The record is from RNAcentral.
GUGCCAGCAGCCGCGGUAAUACGUAGGGUGCGAGCGUUAAUCGGAAUUACUGGGCGUAAAGCGUGCGCAGGCGGUUUUGUAAGGCAGAUGUGAAAUCCCCGGGCUUAACCUGGGAACUGCGUUUGUGACUGCAAGCUAGAGUACGGCAGAGGGGGGUGGAAUUCCUGGUGUAGCAGUGAAAUGCGUAGAUAUCAGGAGGAACACCGAUGCGAAGCCAGCCCCUUGGCCCUGUACUGACGCUCAUGCACGAAAGCGUGGGAGCAAACAGGAUUAGAUACCCUGUAGUCC